This is a long non-coding RNA of Bombus terrestris (buff-tailed bumblebee), 1911 nucleotides long. RefSeq lists it as uncharacterized. The record is from RefSeq and is a predicted model, not a curated record. The transcript is spliced from 3 exons. NCBI's taxonomy places the organism in Eukaryota, Metazoa, Arthropoda, Insecta, Hymenoptera, Apidae.
CUGAGCCCCUCUCGCGCCUUUUGCCACGCACGUGACAAAAAAUUUGAUAAAUCUGUGGAAUGAGACCGUCGACAAACUGAACCAAUUCUCUUGGCUUCACGUUCGCUUUUCUCCACCCUUUUCAACCUAUCAAGGACAACGUUGCGUCAAGGCAGCGUUUCAUUUGCAAUUUAUCUAAUCAAUUUUCAUUAUCGGAUUCUAUUUUUCUUUUUUAAUACUGUGUCCUAGGACCUAAUUUAAUAUUUUUUCAUCACUACUUUUUUCAUCAUUAUUUUUUUCAUCACUAUCUUUUCCACCUUGAUCUCACAAUUUUAUAAAGUUUAAAAAAAUUGAAGUAUUUAUAACAUUAUGAAAAAGUUUUGUGAACAUAUAAUUUUGAAAUGAUAUCGUCAAUAAGCAAUUCUCGCAUUUCAAAUAUUAUUAUUAAUAUUAAUAGAUUGGGUAGAUUAACAUUUUGCAUUAUACUUGUUUAUUAGUGCAUAUGACAGAAAAUGUAUUAAUUCUCCGGUUAGGCAUAACGUGAAAAAGAAUGAAUAAUGUUCUGGUUUUAUUACUAUUCUGAAUACUAUUUUUACAUUGAGUGAUUUAUGUGGUAGCUGUGUAUAUGUUCAACAUAUAAUACGAAUUAAAACAGUGAUAUUUGAAUCUAUAGAACAAUAAAAUGAUUUAUUUAAUUAAACGAUAACUGUGUAGAUUAUUAGUAUAUUAAAAAUAACUUACAAAACAUACUUGUCUAUUCUUAAACUUCCAAGUAUAGAUUAGGCUAGAUAUAUUUCUAUACUUUAUUAUGAAUUUUAUUCAUAUUAUUAUACAUUCUGUUAUAUACAUUUUGUAACCAAAAGUACGUAAAUUAAAUUGUAUUGUGUCUAUAAUGUUUUAUUAUACAAAUUUUUGAUAUAAAAUAAAUAAAGGGUAAUGUAUAAAAGGAGAAUAGUAUGAUAUAUAGUACCUAUUUCGAAUUUAAAUUCUAUUUAGAGAAGAGAACGCAAGUGGCGCUAGUAGUUUCCGCGUUUUCCGCAUCGGUCGGUUUGAAUUCGCGUUUUGUUGCACGAAAUUGUGAAAAUUAUAUAGAAAAGUGAUAUCAAUUACCAUAAAUAUUUCUCAAAGAGUGAUUAAAAGGUUUAAUUCAAUUACUGGAGCAAUAUAACAGGAAUAAAUCUAAGUGGAGUGAAGUAGGAAAGAAGUAGGAAGAGUAAAGCAGCCGUUAAUUUAACAAAAUGGAAAGCAUUGUCGUAGGACCAAGUAAUUGGAUUACGAUGGGUCCACGGGAGACAGGGGGAACGUCCAUUUUAACAAAAAUCCUGAGAAUGUGGAGUUUAAUGUUUCUUCGUAUGCUCGUACGUAUGCUCUUUAUCUUAUAUGCUAAUUACGUCGCGUUAAUUGAAAUAUAAAUUUUCCACCUGUACGACGUAUUUCUUGUUCUGUACGGUUCAAUGUAUUAUACUGUUACGAAGUUAUAGGUAAAUUUACGCAGAAUAAGCCGAAGAAUAAAAUGUUUCGCUCUGUGUAAUGUCUACGAGAAAAUAUAAAGUUGUGAAAUUAUGUAUUGAGUAAUAAAUGUUCGUUUUCUGGGAAAUAUGAUAAAUAUUUCUAACAAAUAUAAUAAUUUCAUACGCGUAUGUAUGGGGUUAGGAAACUAAUUCUUAAUAUGGUGUAUGGUAUUCUUCGAUCUUAAAUGUGGAAAUUAUAGUUUUGGACGGAAAUUGAGAUUUUCUCGGAUGAAUCAAACUUCUAGCAUUCUAGAUAUUCUAAAUAAAUACAAGUUAUCCUAAAGUUUCGAAAAAUCUCAUUUUUUUCGUUCAAACGAUUGCGAGGUUCAUCAUGAGAGACGAAUGAAGUGUUAACUGUAGGUUUCUAGGUACGAUGAUAGUUUGAAAAAAAAAUCCAGAUGCCGAAUAAAAUAAACACGAU